AUUGAACGCUGGCGGCAUGCUUUACACAUGCAAGUCGAACGGUAACAGGUUAAGCUGACGAGUGGCGAACGGGUGAGUAAUGCAUCGGAACGUGCCCGGUCGUGGGGGAUAACGCAGCGAAAGCUGCGCUAAUACCGCAUACGAUCUGAGGAUGAAAGCGGGGGACCGUAAGGCCUCGCGCGAUCGGAGCGGCCGAUGUCAGAUUAGGUAGUUGGUGGGGUAAAGGCUCACCAAGCCAACGAUCUGUAGCUGGUCUGAGAGGACGACCAGCCACACGGGAACGGAGACACGGCCCAGACUCCUACGGGAGGCAGCAGUGGGGAAUUUUGGACAAUGGGCGAAAGCCUGAUCCAGCAAUGCCGCGUGCAGGAAGAAGGCCUUCGGGUUGUAAACUGCUUUUGUACGGAGCGAAAAGGUCUCCUCUAAUACAGGGGGCUCAUGACGGUACCGUAAGAAUAAGCACCGGCUAACUACGUGCCAGCAGCCGCAGUAA
This 493-nucleotide ribosomal RNA is filed under the name uncultured bacterium. RNAcentral describes it as "partial 16S ribosomal RNA". It matches the Rfam family "Bacterial small subunit ribosomal RNA", at positions 29 to 523 of the family's 1533-position model. The record is from RNAcentral.